This is an RNA transcript of Brassica rapa (field mustard), 3174 nucleotides long. RefSeq lists it as uncharacterized. NCBI's taxonomy places the organism in Eukaryota, Viridiplantae, Streptophyta, Magnoliopsida, Brassicales, Brassicaceae. The record is from RefSeq and is a predicted model, not a curated record.
UAUGGAAUAAGUGGGUCCCUGUAACCACUUAGUUCUUUUAUACGCAGUCAUUUAAAUUUAGACACAAUUAAGCCCAAAUAGCCUUUAAUUGGGCCGAACAAGUACGGUUGAGGCUUUUAGCAGAGUGAGAGAUAGGUGGAGCAAGAGUCGUCUUCUCCAUGUUUGUGAUUACGAGAUUGAUUUGCCGGCGAAUCCAUGGCACAAGCGAUGUUACUGUUCCAAAGCUCUCAGGAUUCUCUAUUCUAUCUCCCAAACACGUUGAGGUAGAAUAUGCAGAUGACACCAAAUUCAAAUUCUCUUCAGAGUUUCUGAGAGUCAAUAGUCCAGCUGCUGAUGGAAAAAUCAGAUCAAUCGGUGGUGACAAGGUGAUAUCUGGAAGGCGGUAUGUAGGAAUCAUGUCUGCAGAACCGGUGGGAAACUAUGGGGUAAGGUUAGUGUUUGAUGACUUGCAUAGAACAGGGAUAUAUCCAUGGGAUUAUUUCUACGAGCUUGGGAGCAAUAAGUUUAAUCUCAUGAGAAACUAUAUCAAGACUCUCCAAAAGCAUCGUCUCAGCCGUGAACCUCCUCCGAGAAGGAAAUGAUUAUGAUGUCAAUGUGUUUUAAAACUGUCUUCAAAGUGUUUAAUAGAAUCAUUCUUGUGCAGCAGUGCAUGAACAUGUAAUAUUGUUGUCUUGUUUGUUUCAGAAUUACGGAACACAAACAGUUCUAAACGCUGCCCUUAUAAUUUUAAAUCACAUGGGUCUUAAGAGAGUAGACCAUCUAAACCUAUAUCUCAUAAAUGGUUAAAUUGUGUUAAUUAUUUGGUCGCCUUCUAUAUCACAUGUUGCCAGGUGUUUGCUCGUGCGAGAGAUUCAGCCCGUAGUAACUAUCAAGCGUGAGUGGCGUGACUACAUUGGGCUCUUAAGCAAAAGAAAAUUUUACAUUCACACAUAUUUUUUCCUUCUUCCAUAUCAUCUAGACAUACUCUCUACAUGUGGAGUACUUUACUGUACUCAAAUGACUGAACUACCCUAAACCAUGACUAUUCUAGUUAACUCUUCUUAUCAUAGUUAAAUUUAUUAUUUUUUACAUACAACCCAAUUUACUUCUUUACCAAAUUUUAUUUUCUCCUCUCUUUCUCUUGUUUCCUGCUUUUCACCAACUCUAAUUGUCGCUGAUUUUCCUUCCCCGCCACAUCUCUACGUCGAUGGUUUAACCCGCGGAGAUCCUCUCAGAUCUCCGAUUACUCAACACAAUCCUCUCAGACAAUCUCAAAUUACUAUAUCCUUUAAAAAAUCAUAAAUGUCGUUGAUUAAUCUCUCCUUGCCGCAGCUCUAGUUUCAUCCCGUCUUGUUCGCCGAUUCUCCGUUGAUACGAAGUUAGAAGAAGUACAUGUAUAAAAUGGUGAUGUUAUAACGGAAGGUGAUGGCGUGACUAAUUGGUGGUGGUGGCGUGACAAAUCAUUGAUCUCCUCGUUGCCGGUGGCAGAGCGUGAAGGAGGAGCAGAAAAGCUUGAUGGUGGAGGACGAGACAAGACGUGGUCAAGCUGGACUGGUGGUGCUGUUAGACAAAGAAGUGCAAAAACCUAUACCUAUGACCACACCAACUUUGACCAUAAUAAACCUACUUUACCGCUUAAAGCAUCGUUGGACUGGUGGUGCUGUUAGACAAAGAAGUCGCCGGAGUGACCACACCAACUUUGACCAUAACCAAAAAAUGUGCAAAAACCUAUCCCUAUGACCACACCGACUUUGACCAUAAUAAACCUACUUUACCGCUUAAAGCAUCGUUGUACUGCGUUCAACGAGAACUGUCUGAUUUUUUCCUAAAAUAUAUUCAUCUAACGGCUAGCAAAUAAUAUGCAUGUUUCAUGUACUACCAAUUUUUGCCCAUUUAGUUGGGACCAGCCCAUGUAACGACAAUCUCCAAGAAAGUUGCUUAACCUCUUUAGACUUAACCAAGGUUAAAAAGUUGUCCAUCAAAAGGGUUUUUUGGGGAGUAAAAGAGUUAAAGUAAGGGAAAAAGUACACCUCAUUCACAAAGUAUGUGAACAUGCAAGAAACAAUAGGAAAGUACUCCUAGACGUAAACGUCUCAUUAAAUCACUCUCAUUAGACGUGAUUGAUUACUAAAACAACGAAUAUUCUGUAAAACGUCAAACAAACUAAAAAAAUAACGUUUUUUUUUGUUUUCAAGUCUCUUUGCGUAUAUUAUUUGCUUAUAAAAAAAAGUUCACAAAAAAGUUUCUUCAAAUUAGUUUUAUAUUUUGAGUUAUCAGACGUUUCAUACUACUCUAUUUCAUAUUAGUAGCAAAUUAGUUUCUGAUAGGAUAUACAAAAUAUUCUAAUAACAUGAUCUCAUUACAAAUACUCAUAUAUAGACACUAAAAGCAACAUUAUUGGUGGGAUGAAGAAAGAGAGAGGGAGAGAAUCUUUUGUUUUUUUUUUUGUCAUUGGAAAGUAAGGGACAUCUCUUAAUUAAAAGUUUUUUCCUUCUCUUUCUUCCUCCGUUCUCACUUCCUUCCUCUAAGGAAUGUUUUAAAGGACUCCCAAUAAUGUUACCCUAAGUAACUUUCAUUAUAUACAUACAAAAUUAUGGAUUCCAAUUUUCGUCGAUUUGAUUUUCAUUUAUCGAUUUGCUUUUCAUUUUGAUCUCUUAAUUAAUUAAAAUCUAGAAAUAGAACGUUUCAUGAUAAAUAUAAAUAUUCAAAACUUAUAAAAGACUCGCAAUCAGCGAAGACCGAGUUUACGGAAUUUCUCAGUUUUUAUUUUUCCUUUCUCGAAGAAAAAGUAUUACUUUCGUUCCUUUCGCUUCAAUUCUCAACCACUUCAAUUCAACGAACAAAUAAUAAAUAAUUUAUUCAAGUUUUUAUAAUUCGAAUCCCAUUUUUCAUCCAUAUCCUCAGAAAACACUAAAAUUAUUAUUAAUUGUUUUUAUGUUUCGAUUUUAUCCUCUCCUUGCUCGUGGGACCCGGAUCUAAACAUAUUCUUCCGCACCUCAUGUGUUCGAGAGAAAAUCUUGAGUUCCCUUUCAACGACAGAGAGAAAGACAUUUUCCCUUUCGAAUUUUGAAUUUCAAGAGACGUUUUUUUGACGACGAGAAAACACUAUCCACAUACAAAUAAUAAUAAAGAAAAAGCUUCUUCUAGUUUUUGUUCCUCAUCUUCUGGUGUACAUAGAAAGAUUAAUCUGAAGCU